UACGAAGGGGGCUAGCGUUGCUCGGCCUCCCUGGGCGUAAAGCGCACGUAGGCGGCUUUCUAAGUCAGGGGUGAAAUCCUGGAGCUCAACUCCAGAACUGCCUUUGAUACUGGAGAGCUUGAGUCCGGAAGAGGUGAGUGGAACUGCGAGUGUAGAGGUGCAAUUCGUAGAUAUUCGCAAGAACCCCAGUGGCGAUGGCGGCUCACUCGUCCGGUACUGACGCUGAGGUGCGAAGGCGUGGGGAGCAAACAGG
RNAcentral lists this ribosomal RNA (253 nucleotides) under uncultured bacterium. Its description in RNAcentral is "partial 16S ribosomal RNA". It matches the Rfam family "Bacterial small subunit ribosomal RNA", at positions 524 to 776 of the family's 1533-position model. The record is from RNAcentral.